UGCAGUCGACGAUGAAGCCCUUCGGGGUGGAUUAGUGGCGAACGGGUGAGUAACACGUGGGCAAUCUGCCCUGCACUCUGGGACAAGCCCUGGAAACGGGGUCUAAUACCGGAUACUGAUCGCCUUGGGCAUCCUUGGUGAUCGAAAGCUCCGGCGGUGCAGGAUGAGCCCGCGGCCUAUCAGCUUGUUGGUGAGGUAAUGGCUCACCAAGGCGACGACGGGUAGCCGGCCUGAGAGGGCGACCGGCCACACUGGGACUGAGACACGGCCCAGACUCCUACGGGAGGCAGCAGUGGGGAAUAUUGCACAAUGGGCGAAAGCCUGAUGCAGCGACGCCGCGUGAGGGAUGACGGCCUUCGGGUUGUAAACCUCUUUCAGCAGGGAAGAAGCGAAAGUGACGGUACCUGCAGAAGAAGCGCCGGCUAACUACGUGCCAGCAGCCGCGGUAAUACGUAGGGCGCGAGCGUUGUCCGGAAUUAUUGGGCGUAAAGAGCUCGUAGGCGGCUUGUCGCGUCGGUUGUGAAAGCCCGGGGCUUAACCCCGGGUCUGCAGUCGAUACGGGCAGGCUAGAGUUCGGUAGGGGAGAUCGGAAUUCCUGGUGUAGCGGUGAAAUGCGCAGAUAUCAGGAGGAACACCGGUGGCGAAGGCGGAUCUCUGGGCCGAUACUGACGCUGAGGAGCGAAAGCGUGGGGAGCGAACAGGAUUAGAUACCCUGGUAGUCCACGCCGUAAACGGUGGGCACUAGGUGUGGGCGACAUUCCACGUCGUCCGUGCCGCA
This 778-nucleotide ribosomal RNA is filed under the name Streptomyces sp. RNAcentral's name for it is "bacterial SSU rRNA". It matches the Rfam family "Bacterial small subunit ribosomal RNA", at positions 56 to 850 of the family's 1533-position model. Lineage: Bacteria; Bacillati; Actinomycetota; Actinomycetes; Kitasatosporales; Streptomycetaceae. The record is from RNAcentral.